This is a long non-coding RNA of Falco peregrinus (peregrine falcon), 846 nucleotides long. RefSeq lists it as uncharacterized. The transcript has 3 exons. NCBI's taxonomy places the organism in Eukaryota, Metazoa, Chordata, Aves, Falconiformes, Falconidae. The record is from RefSeq and is a predicted model, not a curated record.
CAUUACGGGGGGGAAGGGGAAGCAGCGGGAAGUGUCUGAAUGAGGGAAGGGGUUAAAGAAAUUUUAGUAGAUCUAAUUGCUUAACGAUUACCUAGGUGGUUGCUGAUAAAUAAUGCUUUGUUUUACUAACCACUGUGUAAAUUAACUGAAGCAAGGAGUCUACUGUUCCUCCUGAAGGACAGUUCCUGAUGAGAACUAGCCAAACCCAGCUGUCGUUUGGACAAAGACCAAGGAACAACUGAGUCUGUGCUAGGAGAGAAGGUAAAAAGUUCAGAGCGAGGGAGGCUACCAAAGCCUUCAUCCCCACCACCUCCACGACCACCACCAAGAGGCAGCAGGCAAGCGCAGCUGGAAAUGACUUCUUGGAGCUAAUUUUAACAGGAAGCAGAGACAGGUCAUGAAUAUGUAGGGUGUAUUUGGAAACCUUACGUAUAUGCAACAUUUGAUUGUAUAAAUUGAAGCAAAUUGGGACUACACCCCCCCACUCACCCACCCACCCCCCCGUGCUGCCCAGCGCUGCAUAAACAUACGUACUUUACAAUCCGGUAAGAUUGUGGAGUCUGAUUCCGCACGUCAUGAACUGUCAAAUCCUCCCAGCAGCGCCCAGAGUGAGAGCUGUGCAGAAUGCCAACUGCCACCAUUCCACUCUGGUCACCCUUUCUUCUACCAUGAAAGUACAAGACAGGCGGAAAGGAUCCAUAGUGGUCUGCAAGUACUAGCUUUAUUGUCCAAGCAAGCAACAUGUGCAGCAGUGGCACAAGGACCGUAGCUGCUGGGGUGAAUCUCUAAGUGUCGAUUACGGUAUGACCUUGUCCUGCAGCCUGUAUGGAAGGUGCUGUGGUUUAA